RNAcentral lists this transfer-messenger RNA (366 nucleotides) under Helicobacteraceae. RNAcentral describes it as "Helicobacter_G enhydrae Standard tmRNA". It matches the Rfam family "transfer-messenger RNA". Rfam says of the family: Bacterial tmRNA, also known as 10Sa RNA or SsrA, is named for its dual tRNA and mRNA-like properties. Its role is to liberate the mRNA from a stalled ribosome. The record is from RNAcentral. RNAcentral also lists the same sequence under 1 other name. Lineage: Bacteria; Pseudomonadati; Campylobacterota; Epsilonproteobacteria; Campylobacterales.
GGGGCUGAUUUGGCUUCGACAGGAGCUAGAUAGCUUGAAUAGCACGCCGGAUGGCAUUCCGUAAUCCUGCCAAGUUUAAAAUUAAACGCAAACAACAAAAAUUUUGCUCCAGCUUACGCAGCAGCGUAAGUCUCACAACUCUUCGGAGCCGAUUAGUUGAGCCAUACUAGCCAACUCUUCUAGUCGUCAUACCUGCUAGUUGCUUUUGUGCCAAGUCUAGGGGUACAAACUAAGACAAUAGACUGCAAUAUAGAGAGUUUUGGGGGUUGUGGCUCUAUAUCCAAGACACACAACCCUGUCUAAGCGUGUAGAAGUUCAAGUGGGUUUGGCUUUUGGACUGGGGUUCGAUCCCCCACAGCUCCACCA